This 253-nucleotide ribosomal RNA is filed under the name uncultured bacterium. Its description in RNAcentral is "partial 16S ribosomal RNA". It matches the Rfam family "Bacterial small subunit ribosomal RNA", at positions 524 to 776 of the family's 1533-position model. The record is from RNAcentral.
UACGGAGGAUCCAAGCGUUAUCCGGAAUCAUUGGGUUUAAAGGGUCCGUAGGCGGUCAGAUAAGUCAGUGGUGAAAGCCCAUCGCUCAACGGUGGAACGGCCAUUGAUACUGUCUGACUUGAAUUAUUAGGAAGUAACUAGAAUAUGUAGUGUAGCGGUGAAAUGCUUAGAGAUUACAUGGAAUACCAAUUGCGAAGGCAGGUUACUACUAAUAUAUUGACGCUGAUGGACGAAAGCGUGGGUAGCGAACAGG